This 486-nucleotide ribosomal RNA is filed under the name uncultured bacterium. RNAcentral's name for it is "bacterial SSU rRNA". It matches the Rfam family "Bacterial small subunit ribosomal RNA", at positions 28 to 556 of the family's 1533-position model. The record is from RNAcentral.
GAUGAACGCUGGCGGCGUGCCUAAUACAUGCAAGUCGAGCGGUAACACUUCGGGUGACGAGCGGCGGACGGCUGAGUAACGCGUAGGAACGUACCCCAAACUGAGGGAUAAGCACCAGAAAUGGUGUCUAAUACCGCAUAUGGUCUUCGGAUUAAAGCUUCGGCGGUUUGGGAACGGCCUGCGUAUGAUUAGCUUGUUGGUGAGGUAAAAGCUCACCAAGGCGACGAUCAUUAGCUGGUCUGAGAGGAUGAUCAGCCAGACUGGGACUGAGACACGGCCCAGACUCCUACGGGAGGCAGCAGUAGGGAAUCUUCCACAAUGGGCGAAAGCCUGAUGGAGCAACGCCGCGUGCAGGAUGAAAGCCUUCGGGUCGUAAACUGCUUUUAUAUGCGAAGACUUCGACGGUAGCAUAUGAAUAAGGAUCGGCUAACUCCGUGCCAGCAGCCGCGGUCAUACGGAGGAUCCAAGCGUUAUCCGGAAUUACGU